CUACGACCAUAUCACGUUGAUACACCGUUUCGAUCACCAAAGUUAAGCAAGGCCGAGCGUGGUCAGUACAUAGAUGGGUGAGCGCUUGGGAAUAUCAGGUGUUGUAAG
This is a non-coding RNA of Acanthosepion pharaonis, 108 nucleotides long. Lineage: Eukaryota; Metazoa; Mollusca; Cephalopoda; Sepiida; Sepiidae. The record is from the annotation of a GenBank genome assembly.